CAUAGGUUUGGUCCUAGCCUUUCUAUUUGUUUUUAACAAAAUUACACAUGCAAGUAUCCGCACCCCAGUGAGAAUGCCCUCUAAAUCUUAAAGAUUAAAAGGAGCGGACAUCAAGCACACCCCAUGGUAGCUCACAACGCCUUGCUCAACCACACCCUCACGGGACACAGCAGUGAUAAAAAUUAAGCCAUGAACGAAAGUUCGACUAAGUUAUGUUAAACAGAGUUGGUAAAUAUCGUGCCAGCCACCGCGGUCAUACGAUUAACCCAAAUAAAUAGAAUUACGGCGUAAAGAGUGCCCAAGARAAAAUCCAUAAUAGAGAUAAAUUUCAACUAAGCURNNNNNNNNNNNNNUUGAAAAAUAAAUAAACCACGAAAGUGACUCUAACAUCUCAGAUGCACGAUAGCUAGGGCUCAAACUGGGAUUAGAUACCCCACUAUGCCUAGCCCUAAACCUAAAUAAUCAACUAACAAGAUUAUUCGCCAGAGUACUACUAGCAACAGCCUAAAACUCAAAGGACUUGGCGGUGCUUCAUAUCCAUCUAGAGGAGCCUGUUCUAUAACCGAUAAACCCCGAUAAACCUCACCAGCCCUUGCCAAUUCAGCCUAUAUACCGCCAUCUUCAGCAAACCCUAAAAAGGAGCAACAGUAAGCACAACUAUAGUACAUAAAAACGUUAGGUCAAGGUGUAGCUUAUGGGUUGGGAAGAAAUGGGCUACAUUUUCUACAAAAGAACAAYUACGAAAAUUUUCAUGAAAUUGAGAAUUAAAGGAGGAUUUAGCAGUAAAUUAAGAAUAGAGUGCUUAAUUGAAUUAGGCCAUGAAGCACGCACACACCGCCCGUCACCCUCCUCAAGUAAACACAGUGCACAAAACCUAUUACAAACAAAACUACACAAGAGGAGACAAGUCGUAACAAGGUAAGCAUACUGGAAAGUGUGCUUGGAUCAC
This 949-nucleotide non-coding RNA is filed under the name Platygonus compressus. RNAcentral describes it as "12S ribosomal RNA". It matches the Rfam family "Bacterial small subunit ribosomal RNA". Lineage: Eukaryota; Metazoa; Chordata; Mammalia; Artiodactyla; Tayassuidae. The record is from RNAcentral.